AGUAUCAAGGGAUAAUUUGGGUCCCCACAGUACCAAAGCAUUUAGAAACCUCUGCUUAAUUUAAAGAAUGAGAUAAAUUACUGCUUUUCUAGACUUCCUAGCAUGGGCCGUUGUGCUGGAGAGAACGAGAAAUACGAAGAGACCAGAAUGCCUAAGACUUUUUCAUAGGCCUGUUGGCCGGUGAAUCUUACUAAUAGUUUACCACAAUUCAGUGUUCACUCUUAGUUUAGAAGGGACAGGCGUUUAUUGUGCAUUGGCCAGUGCCAGCACAUCCGAUGCAAGGCAUUUCACCGUAUUCUAUCUUUAAUUUUUACCAUGAUCCUCUGAGGUAGGUGUUCUUAUCUCUUUCUCUCUUUUUUGAACAGAGGAAGACACUUAAACAUAAAGAUGAAGUGCCUAAUUCAAGGUCACACAAUGUCGGGGAUGGACCUCCAGAUUUCCUUACUGACCUGCAUUAUCUGUGGAUAUCUGAGUGAAUUACACACCACCCAUUUUAUAGAUGAAGCCACUGAGACAUGGAGCAACUGACUGAGUAGUCACUGCCCCACCCCUGGAGCCUCACACAUGACUCGUCUCCUCUCUCUCAGUGACCACAGGUAAGACAUGGUCUUGUACCACAGUGGUUAAGAAUGUGACUUUGGAGCCAGCCUGCUAGGGGAUGAAUUCUGACUCAGCCAUUUACUAACUGGGUGACCUUAGAUAAAGGAAACUGAGGCCCAGAGAAGUCAAACACUUUGAGAUCUCUGUAGGCCCCUACUGUGCUGGCUGUGCAUAGAUUCUGUACCUCCUGCUGUUGCUGUUGUUGGCUCUCCACCUUUACCAUGGCCAUCACGUUCUGACCGUGCUGGAGCUGAGCUGCUGGAAUGACUCAUUUUUCUUUUUUCUUUUCUUUUUUUUUUUUUUUUGAGACAGAGUUUCGCACUGUCGCCCAGGCUGGAGUGCAGUGGCGCGAUCUCAGCUCACUGCAACCUCUGCCUCCCGGGUUCACGCCAUUCUCCUGCCUCGGCCUCCCGAUGGGACUACAGGCGCCUGCCACCACGCCCGGCUUUUUUAGUGGAGAUGGGGUUUCAACGUGUUAGCCAGGAUGGUCUCAAUCUCCUGACUUCAUGAUCCGCCCACCUCGGCCUCCCAAAGUGCUGGGAUUACAGGGGUGAGCCACCCUGCUCGGCCCCCUUUUUUUUUUUUUGGAGACAGAGUCUCGUUCUGUCACCAGGCUGGAGUGCUGUGGCGCAAUCUCGGCUCACUGCAACCUCCGCCUCCCGGGUUUAAGCAAUUCUCCUGCCUUGGCCUCUUGAGUAGCUGGGAUUACAGGCACACGCUGCCACGCCCACCUAAGUUUUGUAUUUUUAGUAGAGAUGGCAUUUCACUGUGUUGGCCAGGAUGGUCUCGAUCUCUUGACCUUGUGAUCCACCUGCCUCAGCCUCCCAAAGUGCUGGGAUUACAGGCAUGAGCCACCACACCUGGCCCGUGACUCGUUUUUCUAACACAUCAGGCCAUAGCCUUUCUUCAUGUCUUGCCUGCUUCAUACCGUAAAUCGGAAACUCCUCUCACGAGGCUUCUGACUGUAGCCUGACCAUCUCACCCGAUCUCUUCUUCAAUCCCUCUUCCCCGCUCCCCUUUAUUUUCCCUUUCCUAUUCUGUCUUUAUUUUUACUUUUCAUGCAGUGUCAGAGAAGUGUAGUGACAAUGUCGGGGGAGGAUCCCCCAGCUGCCUCUGGCAGUUGGUUUUGUACUUCCCACUUCUGGCGUAGUAUACCUUCUAGAAUUUCUGUCAGUAGACAAUUCAAAUCUUGUGUUUUUCUUUGGAGCUUUCAACAUCUUGCACAUAGCUUAUAGUUACAUGGCUGUGAACAGAGAAGGGGCAGUUUCAUGGUGGCAUUGGCUGUGAGGGCACUUACAUUGAUGAAUUCAACCUACCACAGUGGCUGUCUCCCCUGUCAAAGUGAGUGAGGGGAUGAGACCAUUUUCUGAACCAGCUCAUCUCCCUGAAUAUGGGCUUUUCUAUUGGCAUUUCAUUGCUGGCUGUGGAAUCUUGCCUCUUUUCCAAUAAGACUUUUGGCUUUAGAUCCUGUUCUUGUUCUUACCCACUCUCAGUAAACUGAACUCCGGGAACCACAUCUCUUUUGUUUGCUGCUGCAUCCAAGGACUGAGCAAAGGCCUGAUACUUACUAAUCCCUCAAGAAAUAUUUAUUGAAUGAAGAAAUGAAUAUUGACCUGGAAAGUUCAAACUCUUGACUUUCCUUGCUUGUUCCUGAAGUUAGAGGCCAGAUUAAGAAUUUAACAGUCUUAAGCAAUAGAAAAAUUAUGAUGUCCCUCAUACUUUCAUCCCUCAGUAUGUAUUUUAAAAGCAGUGUAAAUGCAAAAUAAGUAUAAAGAAACCUAGCAAAAUGUAAAGAAAAUGCAGCAAAAUUCUGAUUUUUACCAUGGUUACCACUUUGAUAAAUAUAAAAUAAC
This 2453-nucleotide long non-coding RNA is filed under the name Macaca fascicularis (crab-eating macaque). Its description in RNAcentral is "lncRNA (ENSMFAG00000060812.1)". The record is from RNAcentral. Lineage: Eukaryota; Metazoa; Chordata; Mammalia; Primates; Cercopithecidae.